GACGAACGCUGGCGGCGUGCUUAACACAUGCAAGUCGAGCGGAGCGGCGAACGGGUGAGUAACGCGUGAGUAACUGCCCCCCUCUCUGGGAUAACCGUUGGCAACGGCUGCUAAUACCGGAUAGUGGGGGAUGACUUGCGUCCUAUCUGAUUGUUGGUGGGGUAGUUGCCUACCAAGGCGACGCCGGGUAGCCGGCCUGAGAGGGCGACCGGCCACAUGGGGCUGCGAUAGGGCCCAAACUCCUACGGGAGGCAGCAGUGGGGAAUAUGGCACAAUGGGGGAAACCCUGAGGCAGCAACGCCGCGUGCGGGAUGACGGCCUUCGGGUUGUAAACCGCUUUCAGCCAUGACGCGGUAGUGGCAGAAGAAGCACCGGCUAACUACGUGCCAGCCGCCGCGGUAAUAC
RNAcentral lists this ribosomal RNA (405 nucleotides) under uncultured bacterium. RNAcentral's name for it is "partial 16S ribosomal RNA". It matches the Rfam family "Bacterial small subunit ribosomal RNA", at positions 28 to 526 of the family's 1533-position model. The record is from RNAcentral.